AAGACUACCCGCUGAGUUUAAGC
RNAcentral lists this ribosomal RNA (23 nucleotides) under Calyptrochaeta brownii. Its description in RNAcentral is "partial 26S ribosomal RNA". Lineage: Eukaryota; Viridiplantae; Streptophyta; Bryopsida; Hookeriales; Daltoniaceae. The record is from RNAcentral. RNAcentral also lists the same sequence under 3 other names.